GACGAACGCUGGCGGCGUGCUUAACACAUGCAGGUCGAACGGAAAGGCCCUGCUUGCCGGGUGCUCGAGUGGCGAACGGGUGAGUAACACGUGGGUGAUCUGCCCCUUACUUUGGGAUAAGCCUGGGAAACUGGGUCUAAUACUGGAUAGGACCAUGCUGUAGGUGGUGUGGUGGAAAGAUUAGUUUCGGUAAGGGAUGAGCUCGCGGCCUAUCAGCUUGUUGGUGGGGUAAUGGCCUACCAAGGCGUCGACGGGUAGCCGGCCUGAGAGGGUGGACGGCCACAUUGGGACUGAGAUACGGCCCAGACUCCUACGGGAGGCAGCAGUGGGGAAUAUUGCACAAUGGGCGCAAGCCUGAUGCAGCGACGCCGCGUGGGGGAUGACGGCCUUCGGGUUGUAAACUCCUUUCAGCCAUGACGAAGCCCUUGUGGUGACGGUAGUGGUAGAAGAAGCACCGGCUAACUACGUG
This 469-nucleotide ribosomal RNA is filed under the name uncultured bacterium. Its description in RNAcentral is "partial 16S ribosomal RNA". It matches the Rfam family "Bacterial small subunit ribosomal RNA", at positions 28 to 507 of the family's 1533-position model. The record is from RNAcentral.